UACGGAGGGUGCGAGCGUUGUCCGGAAUCAUUGGGCGUAAAGGGCGCGUAGGUGGCGGGACAAGCGUGCGGUGAAAGCCUGGGCUCAACCCCGGGUCGGCCGUGCGAACUGUUUGCUUGAGCACUGUAGAGGCAGGCGGAAUUCCGGGUGUAGCGGUGGAAUGCGUAGAGAUCCGGAAGAACACCGGUGGCGAAGGCGGCCUGCUGGGCAGUAGCUGACACUGAGGCGCGACAGCGUGGGGAGCAACAGG
This 250-nucleotide ribosomal RNA is filed under the name uncultured bacterium. Its description in RNAcentral is "partial 16S ribosomal RNA". It matches the Rfam family "Bacterial small subunit ribosomal RNA", at positions 524 to 775 of the family's 1533-position model. The record is from RNAcentral.